GACGAACCGUGCGAACGUUGUUCGGAUUCACUGGGCUUAAAGGGCGCGUAGGCGGCUUGCCAAGUCGGGGGUGAAAUCUUUCGGCUCAACCGGAAAACAGCUUCCGAUACUGGCGAGCUUGAGUGGGGUAGGGGCGACUGGAACUUCCGGUGGAGCGGUGAAAUGCGUAGAUAUUCGGAAGAACACCAGUGGCGAAGGCGACUCACUGGACACGUAUUGACGCUGAGGUGCGAAAGCGUGGGGAGCAAACAGG
This 253-nucleotide ribosomal RNA is filed under the name uncultured bacterium. RNAcentral's name for it is "partial 16S ribosomal RNA". It matches the Rfam family "Bacterial small subunit ribosomal RNA", at positions 524 to 776 of the family's 1533-position model. The record is from RNAcentral.